UUCUAUCUCAAGCUGUUCUUUCUCCUUUCUUUCUCAUCUAGAAUUUUCUAACUUCCAAUCCAUUGGAGCAGUCUAGAACCUAAAACAGUUUGGAAAAUCAUAUCAGUUAAUCUGCUAUCUCUGCAGCUGUUGCUUUUAGAACUGUUUUUAUUUGUUCAUUGGUUGUGGGCGUCACUGACUUGACAAGCAUUCUUGCCAAUCUUAAUUAACUGUUGAGCGUCAUCCUCAUUUCCCUAGGUCUUUUUCUCACAUGUCUAAGGCUGGAUGCUGCAUAAGAACCCUAGCAAUUUAAGGGCAUGAUGUUCUGAGGCUGGGAAUGGUAGAGAGAAAGAGCUUUAUAUGUUGUCAGCACAUGAGGUUUUCAACAUGUUCUCUGAAGAGCUUCUACUUUAGGGAAAAUAGAAAAUUUUAAUUAAUAAAAUUAUGGAAACAGGCAGAUUUCAAGUGUAUAAUUUUGGAGGAGGAAAACUGGCAUUUUCUUCCUUGGUGAAAAGAAUUUCACUGUGCUGGGCUGAGGUUUUAGGAUAAGAAAUUUGCUUUCGUUAUGUUCAGUGCAAUCUGUGUGGAUUUCAGAUUUGAAGGCCCCAGUGACUGAUGAAUCUUAGGCAAUUGUGUGUGAAGAUUUCUUAAACAAGUACUCAAUAUAAUGCUGCAAGUUUAGCUUUUGUUUUGGGAGAGUACCCUUAGGAUGAGACUAAAUAGCCUAAAACAGUUGCUAGAAGUGACUUCAUAUUGCAACUGUUUCCAAUAAAGGUAACAAAUAAUUUUUUAAAAAGCUUUAUGAAAUAGUAAGUAAUAUGGUUUGAGCACUUACUUAUUUUACUUGUGUUUCAGCUGACAUAUGUACUACUGGACUUAGUACUACAGGAGUUAUUUCCUGAACUCAGUAAGGUGCAGAAAGAGGUGGCGUCUGUUUCCAUGUGGAAGUGAAGAAUACUGCUACCAAUUUUCCAUUUUGAGAUCCUCUUAUUUUUUAGGAGCUGGAGUGCAAUAGAACCAUGCUGUAUCUAUGUGGCAGAAUUAUGUGUAUGAAAUACUGAAUGGUUUUUAGUGAAACUUGUAUAAGUAAAUGUGAAUAUUAAUUUUAUGAAAUUCAUGUGAAUGUGAACAUUUAAUUUAAACCUACGUGUGUUACACUAUGCCAAUAAAGGAUAUUGUAUCAUUGUGUUGUGGAAA
This is a long non-coding RNA of Rhincodon typus (whale shark), 1176 nucleotides long. RefSeq lists it as uncharacterized. The record is from RefSeq and is a predicted model, not a curated record. Lineage: Eukaryota; Metazoa; Chordata; Chondrichthyes; Orectolobiformes; Rhincodontidae. The transcript is spliced from 2 exons.